Molecule: long non-coding RNA, 258 nt
Organism: Lytechinus variegatus (green sea urchin)
Lineage: Eukaryota; Metazoa; Echinodermata; Echinoidea; Temnopleuroida; Toxopneustidae
Exons: 2
Source: RefSeq, a predicted model, not a curated record
AUAGCUCAUGAAGCUUGAAGUCAGGGACACUGAGUAUGCGUUAUUAAACAUCUCAUGUUCUGUUCUUUCACAGCCGUGGGUACGGUGGGAAAAAUUUCAUCAGAAGGAAAGGAAGGAGGAUGACUAGAAUACAGGGGAAUGGCUUGCUAGGGUACUUGACCACCAGAACCACGCCCCGUAGGAGAUGAGGAGGAGACAAAGGGGUAGCAAUUGUGCUCUCAAUUCAGGUGUAAUUUGGUGAAGAGAACUGAGAGGUAA